RNAcentral lists this ribosomal RNA (565 nucleotides) under uncultured bacterium. Its description in RNAcentral is "bacterial SSU rRNA". It matches the Rfam family "Bacterial small subunit ribosomal RNA", at positions 172 to 771 of the family's 1533-position model. The record is from RNAcentral.
AAUACGGUCGAGAGGCGAAAGAUUUAUCGCCGAGGGAUUGGCCCGCGUCCGAUUAGCUAGUUGGUGAGGUAAUGGCCCACCAAGGCGACGAUCGGUAGCUGGUCUGAGAGGAUGAUCAGCCACAUUGGGACUGAGACACGGCCCAAACUCCUACGGGAGGCAGCAGUGGGGAAUAUUGGACAAUGGGCGCAAGCCUGAUCCAGCCAUGCCGCGUGAGUGAUGACGGCCUUAGGGUUGUAAAGCUCUUUCGUCAGGGACGAUAAUGACGGUACCUGAAGAAGAAGCCCCGGCUAACUUCGUGCCAGCAGCCGCGGUAAUACGAAGGGGGCUAGCGUUGUUCGGAAUUACUGGGCGUAAAGCGCGUGUAGGCGGGUCUUUAAGUCAGGGGUGAAAUGCCAGGGCUCAACCUUGGAACUGCCUUUGAUACUGGAGAUCUUGAGUCCGGGAGAGGUGAGUGGAACUGCGAGUGUAGAGGUGAAAUUCGUAGAUAUUCGCAAGAACACCAGUGGCGAAGGCGGCUCACUGGCCCGGUACUGACGCUGAGAUGCGAAAGCGUGGGGAGCAA